UCAAUUUAUCGCCUUGGUCUCGUAUUUCUCAAGGCCGUAAUUCAUGGACCUUCUGGAGGCAGAGUAGCAGACCUAGCUAAAACCUAAAAUCUUAAAGCUCUUCCUAAAUCAGAAGUAUUCUAUCAUUCAGGCAUUGGCUAUUGAAUGUUCAUAAAAGCACUCUCAAAAAUCUUCAAGGGGCAAACAUAUGCAAUUGCUUUCUUUUUUUUGCAGUACUUUUAACUCGAUCAAUUGUUAAUGUUUUGCUUCAGUUCCUUUAUGACGUUGGUGUUGUGUCAACAAAGGAACCCUUUAACUGUGUCAUCAACCAAGGAAUUAUCCUUGGGUGGUUAGUAUAAAUUGCUCGAUCAUGUAGACAUGAUGUCCUUUGGAAACUGCAUAUUUUUAAUGGCCGAGAUGGCGGGUUCAAUAAAUGGCCACGAAAGAAUAGCCGAGGAGAAGGUCAAGAAUUCUGGUGAUUCUUAUGUGCUAGAAAAACCAUCCCAAUAUUGCUCACAAGAUGAGUAAAAGUCCCGGAAAUGUCAUAAAUCCUGACGAUGUUGUUUUGGAGUAUGGUGCAGAUUCUCUUUGUUUAUAUGAAAUGUUUAUGGGCCAAUUUCGAGACUCCAAAAUCUGGAGUGCUAGUGUUAUUGAAGUGUUCAUCGUUUUUUGGCAAGAGUGUGGAGAUUGAUUGUCGGUUCACCUAUUAAAGAUGGAACAAUUAACCUUGAUGAAAAACCUUCUAUGGAACAACUUCGGUGUCUUCAUGGUCUCAUAGAUGCAUCGACAAGGUGACAGAAGAAAUUGAAGGAAUACAGUUCAACACUGGAAUUUCUGCGAUGAUGGAGUUCAUCAAUGCUGCAUAUAAGGUCUCUCACUCUCUCUCAGACGCGCCCCGCCACAUGUACGCACUUGAAUUAGUUUUCUGUACUUAUCAUGAUGAUACAGCAUGCCCACAUCCAUAGAAAGUGUAUGACAGGCAUCCAUGAAUAAGUGGAAGAAAAGGGUCCAGAAACCCAUUGUAGCGGUGAGUAAAAGGGUAGGAAAGAAUAGGAGGGCUUAUGUUAUGCUCUGAAGACACUUCUACCAUAUUUCCCAAUGUUAUCAUAUUGGAGGAAGAAAUUGGUUAAAAGACCUUUUAGUGUUUGUCUUCAUAAAAGUAAAACUGUGACUGUUGAGCUUGGCUAGUUCUUUUAUGAUUUGACAGUGUAUUUUCCUGUUUUUAGUGGGAAGAGCUUCCAAAGUCAAUUGUCGAAACAUUUUUCUUACUGCUCUCACCCUAUGCAUCUCAUGUGGCGGAAGAGCUCUGGUCCCAUUUAGGACACUCAAUGUCACUGGCAUAUGAGCCUUUCCCCGAGGCAUGAAUGUGCAUUUCCUACUAAUUUAGCCCGCCUACUCCCUUGGCAGGUGUCCUCUGGCUAGGCUAGCGCGAUGUAUUUCUAUGGUGGUCUCUGUUGUAUGGACUAACUUCUGUUGUUUCCAAUCCAGUGCAGACUGCAUGAAUUGUUUGGUACAUUUACCUAAAAGUCAGUGGGGAACAUUAAAAAGAAGCUGUUGAUAAAAUAAUCAUAUGUUAAUAGAUUCUAAAGUUAUUAAAAUCAGAUGGUGCUUUCUACUUUUGACUACUUAUGAUCACUGUAUUCAGAAAAAAGGCUGGAUAGUUUCUCUGACGAAAAAUGAAGAAUCUCUCCGAGUUGUGACAAUACAUUUUUAAGAAUUAGUCAUUGUGGGUCUCUGACAUCUACUUAUUACAGGCUAAUCCUGCUUACUUAAAGGAGUCCACUGUAGUUUUACUAGUUCAGAUAAACGGUAAGACAAGAGGUACCAUACAGGUCGAAGAAGCAUGCACCGAGGAAGAUGCUUUUAGACUAGCUUCACUUGAUUCUAAACUGUCCAAGUUUAUGUCUGGUAAAAGCAUCAAAAAGCGCAUAUUCGUGCUGGGUAAAAUUCUGAACGUUCUCUUGGAUGCGCAGAACAUCAAGGUGGGUCUGCAAUAGUCCCUCAGCCAGCAUUUGACAGCUGGUGCAGAUAUGCCUUUCUUGAUGUUGAAUUAAGAACAGCAGGAACAAGUUUAUAUGCAUACGAUUCCUUGAGGUUAAAUAAAGAACAUCAAGAAUGCAAUAUACUAGUCAAUUGACACCUUGUAAUUUAUCCGUGCCUACUGAGAAGGAAAAGGUUUUUUGAAGGAUUUGUUGUGUGGUGAGAGACAGACGAUGUGUUCAUAAUGAGGCAGUUCUCAAUAUUGAGAUGGGUUUUGUUGUUGAUUGUUUAUACAUACAAAACUAAUUCACUUAGAUCAAUCUUGUAAUAGCCUAUUAUUUAUAUAUGGAAUGUACGCAAACCUAUCAAUACAAAUUGUUUCGUACUAUCCAAUGGUAACUUGUGA
Olea europaea var. sylvestris is the source of this 2365-nucleotide long non-coding RNA. RefSeq lists it as uncharacterized. NCBI's taxonomy places the organism in Eukaryota, Viridiplantae, Streptophyta, Magnoliopsida, Lamiales, Oleaceae. The record is from RefSeq and is a predicted model, not a curated record. The transcript has 4 exons.